AUGCUGGGUCGGAAUCGGAGGGGUAGGGGGAGGGGAAGGGGUAGGGGAAGAGCCGGGGCGGAAGCGGAUCCGCCGGGCGUCGGCGUCGAGGAGGUGACCACGCAGCUCGUGUUCGAGCAAAACAGGCCCAUUUGCGCGCCUCUGCAGCAACAACUUAGUGAUGUCCCCGUACUCAAAUUUAACCUGGGAGCAGAAAUUUUGGAAGUUGAAUACCAUAGGGUCAUCACAGAGAUUAACAAGAGAGCUAGCAAAAUAGCCCCUGGGCUGUACAUGAACAAACCAAUAACACCCAUCCAAAAUCCACAAAACUGUCCAAAGCCCUAUAACUAUGAUGAUCGAACCAAGUGGGGACAUAGCUACUAUACCGUUGAGAUGAGGUUCCACCGCAAAUGUCCGCAUCCAUUUCGUGGAGUGAGGAUUCAGAUCAUCUUUAGGGACUAUGAUGGUUAUAUGCUGGGGUAUGGGAGGCGUAUGAAUGGACACUGGACCAACUGGUACUACUGCAGCAAGAAAGAGUUCCCAAUCCCUUUCUUUAUUCAAGAAGGCGCGAUAAAACUACCAUUCCGAGAAGACUAUGUCAUGAAGCCUCUUAUUGGUGGAGCUGCAACGUUUAUGAAUAUCUUUAAACAAUUUGCACGAUACCCGGAAAUGGGAAACUCACAAGAGCUAUUAGAGGCGUUUCUCUCCGCUGUGGUGGUUCUGUCAGAGGCAAGGCGCAUCAUUUGGGUAUUUAGGGAAGUGAAGAAUCGGAUCCGACGAAAUGAAGCACCAUCAGAUCUUGACUGUAAGGUCCCUGGAAAGGAACUCCCCACUGGAUUGGCUUGGACCUCAAUUGGAGACUGGACCAUGGACAGUAAACAGGUUUUAGGUUCUGCGUUCAAGGGAGAAUAUACGCCACGUACCGGUCAAAAAUUCGCGGAAACUGUGGUACCUGUCAAGACGUUUGGGCAACUUAUCUCACAAGAUGAAGAAUCUGGACACCUAAGCCUACUGAUGCGCGUGGAGAAUAUAGCAGCUCCGGAGGGUGGGUGGGUGCUCACAAGGUUGAAGAUGAAGGUGAAUAAUCCUGGACUUCGAGUCAUUGACCCAGGAUUCCCUGACGAUCCAGAAUUAUCUGAUGAUGAGUGA
RNAcentral lists this ribosomal RNA (1128 nucleotides) under Triticum aestivum (bread wheat). RNAcentral describes it as "partial small subunit ribosomal RNA". Lineage: Eukaryota; Viridiplantae; Streptophyta; Magnoliopsida; Poales; Poaceae. The record is from RNAcentral.